This 889-nucleotide long non-coding RNA is filed under the name Oncorhynchus kisutch (coho salmon). RNAcentral describes it as "lncRNA (ENSOKIG00005003481.1)". The record is from RNAcentral. Lineage: Eukaryota; Metazoa; Chordata; Actinopteri; Salmoniformes; Salmonidae.
GGUUGAUACCAUUCCAUUGACGAUAUUCCAGCCAUUAAUAUGAGCCGUCCUCUCAGCAGCCCCCACUGCCUAGUUUAUAAAGGGAAAAACUUUAUUAAGCUACUUCGAUGUUGAAGAGACUUUCGUAGCAGGUUAGGAGACUGACGUUAACGUUAGGAAAAUUAUAAACUAAAACGCUUUCCUAACCUGCUAAGAAAAUCACUAUCGAAGUGGUUAAGUGUCCCUAGUUUCUAAGGUAACAUGAUGGAGAAAAGCCCUCAAGUUUACGACCUGUUAAAGUUCACGCCGACACAACAACUGACUAAGGCGACAAUUGCAAAUAAGUUUAAAACUUAGGUUACAUUUGAGCUGUCAGGCAGGUGAAUAUAUAUAUUUUUUGACGAUAAUCUUGGUCCAAUGAAGGCAUCCCGGUGUUGUGGAGAAGGUGGCCACGUGACGGAGCCAGGCUGCAAUACAGCUGUCGGUCGUUUAAUACACUGCGCCGGAGAAGCAAGCGGGGUAGAAAGACUCGACGAGAGAAGAAUAAAAUCUAUUCCGAACAAAUAUUAUACUCACUCGUUGCGACACAACAGACCAUGGACGGUUAUGCGCUGACAGAAGAUGAGCUGUUUUCCUCCUGCCUCCCGAAUCUCACCUGGGAGAAUUCCUACGAGCAGGCACAGGGGUUCAAGCUGCGCCAGCCAAGUCAUGUUUUUGAGUCUCAACCAGAGUGGAGCCUCAGCGGCGUUGAGCGAAGUGGACAGGCUGAGGCUCCACGGCUGCAGCUCCAGCACAGCCCAGCGCCCUGUAAUCAGUGAAGUGCUGGAGUGCUGCAGCAGCGGCCCCAACAGUCAUGGAGCUUUUGACAAAUUGGAGAGAGUUAGCUACUGCUCAGUUCAUUGCACAGUCC